This 21-nucleotide non-coding RNA is filed under the name Chlamydomonas reinhardtii. Lineage: Eukaryota; Viridiplantae; Chlorophyta; Chlorophyceae; Chlamydomonadales; Chlamydomonadaceae. The record is from RNAcentral. RNAcentral also lists the same sequence under 1 other name.
UUGGAGGGCAAGUCUGGUGCC